This 155-nucleotide ribosomal RNA is filed under the name Symbiodinium sp. clade D. RNAcentral describes it as "Durusdinium sp. clade D 5.8S ribosomal RNA". It matches the Rfam family "5.8S ribosomal RNA". From Rfam's summary of the family: 5.8S ribosomal RNA (5.8S rRNA) is a component of the large subunit of the eukaryotic ribosome. It is transcribed by RNA polymerase I as part of the 45S precursor that also contains 18S and 28S rRNA. Lineage: Eukaryota; Dinophyceae; Suessiales; Symbiodiniaceae. The record is from RNAcentral.
ACAACUUUCAGCGACGGAUAUCUCGGCUCAGGCACCUAUGAAGGGCGCAGCGAAGUGCGAUAGUCUUUGUGAAUGCAGAUCUCCGUGAACCAAUGGCCCCCUGAACGCGCAUUGCACUCUUGGGACUUCCUGAGAGUAUGUUUGCUUCAGUGCUU